UACAGAGGGUGCAAGCGUUAAUCGGAAUUACUGGGCGUAAAGCGUGCGUAGACGGUUAUGUAAGUCGGGUGUGAAAGCCCCGGGCUCAACCUGGGACACCACCCGAUACUGCUUUGGCUAGAGUCCGGUAGGGGAGCAUGGAAUUCCUGGUGUAGCGGUGAAAUGCGCAGAUAUCAGGAGGAACACCAGCGGCGAAGGCGGUGCUCUGGGCCGGAACUGACACUGAGGAGCGAAAGCGUGGGUAGCAAACAGG
Molecule: ribosomal RNA, 253 nt
Filed under: uncultured bacterium
Lineage: Bacteria
Description: partial 16S ribosomal RNA
Rfam family: Bacterial small subunit ribosomal RNA
Source: RNAcentral